CCGUGGGGAUCUCACGAUCCCUACUGAGAUAGAACCCUUGUCUUUGCGUACCCACCGUUUCCUCGGCAGGCUCGCCUGCCAACGAGGACAACCAAAACCCUUUUUGUAAUAGCAGUAAACGUCUAAAAACAAAUCGUUA
This 139-nucleotide unclassified non-coding RNA is filed under the name uncultured Ascomycota. RNAcentral describes it as "sequence contains ITS1". Lineage: Eukaryota; Fungi; Ascomycota. The record is from RNAcentral.